UACGUAGGGACCAAGCGUUGUUCGGAUUUACUGGGCGUAAAGGGCGCGUAGGCGGGUCUGUAAAUCGAAUGUGAAAUCCCCGGGCUUAACCUGGGAAUGGCAUUCGAAACUGCAGAUCUUGGAUGCCUGAGAGGAUGGCGGAAUUCCCGGUGUAGAAGUGAAAUUCGUAGAUAUCGGGAAGAACACCUGAGGCGAAGGCGGCUGUCUGGCGGUGCAUCGAGCUGAGGCGCGAAAGCGUGGGGAGCAAACAGG
RNAcentral lists this ribosomal RNA (252 nucleotides) under uncultured bacterium. RNAcentral describes it as "partial 16S ribosomal RNA". It matches the Rfam family "Bacterial small subunit ribosomal RNA", at positions 524 to 776 of the family's 1533-position model. The record is from RNAcentral.